Molecule: long non-coding RNA, 258 nt
Filed under: Citrus maxima (pomelo)
Lineage: Eukaryota; Viridiplantae; Streptophyta; Magnoliopsida; Sapindales; Rutaceae
Description: long non-coding RNA (CMAX_LNC002504)
Source: RNAcentral
AUGAUUGUGAUUGGCGGUAUCAUUAGAGAUGUCCAUUUGACAAUGUAAAGAUCAGCAAACUCAUCAUCCACAUCAUCACCACCUGAUUUCGAUGUCAAGGUGAAAGAUAUUUCAAUUCCAGCAAUGACUUUCAGCAGCCCUUGAAGCACAGCAGCAAGGUGAGCACUAGUGCCUCCAAUCAGCCAAAACUGUUCAUUUCUCCACCACUCUUCUAAUUCAAUGCCGGACCAUUUAAUUUCAAGCAAAGCUAGUAUACUU